RNAcentral lists this long non-coding RNA (539 nucleotides) under Sus scrofa (pig). Its description in RNAcentral is "lncRNA (ENSSSCG00030065498.1)". The record is from RNAcentral. Lineage: Eukaryota; Metazoa; Chordata; Mammalia; Artiodactyla; Suidae.
CGGGUCCUACCUGGAGCGACACCGCGCGGCAGGGCGCCAGGCUCCGCGGCGUGGGCCGCCGCGCCCGCCCCAGAGGUCGUUUCCCCUGCAGUUUCCAACAUGGCAGGCAGGCAGGUUUUAUAGACAUGGACAAGAAGUCUGCACACAGAAGUUCUGAGGAUGCCAGGACCGGCAAAAGUGGAGGUAAACACAAACAAAAGAAAAGAGAAAAGCAAAACCAAGAACACCACCGAUCCCGACAUAGGUCAACAUCUCAUUCUUCAGAUGACUGUGUGUUUCCUUCUUCUGUAUCAUCUUCAGGAAGCCAAACGGAUUCAAGUCUAGAAGGUGCUGCCAAGGGAAGAAUUAAGAGAAAGAGAGGAAAGAAAAGGAGUAAACGGAGAAAAGAAAGAAAGGUAACUGGGGAUAAUUUAAUACAGGAAGAAAAUUUAGCUAUCCGAGUAUUCCGCGCUUUCUUGCUAAUAAAGGAAAACAGCCUACACGGGACUUUGCAGAGCUGGAAGGAACGAGUGGUGAACAUGCCGUUAACAUGGAGCUAA